GACCUUAAGGGGAUUUUGAGUUUUGAGAUCAAAUGGCCCAUCUAGAGCACUGAGCCAGGGAGAGAACAUUCCUGUUAGCACUGAUUAGCACCCGGGCAACAAAUGUACAUUGUAGCAAAGGCCUCUGGUUCAAGAUUUGUCUCAAGGGACUGAAUUUAAGAGUGGAGGGUUUCAGUGGGGUGUAGCGGCUCACAUCCGCAAUCCCAGCUACUGUGAAGGAAGGAUAAGCACCAGGAUUUCAAAUUCGAGGCCAGCCUGGAUAACUUAGCAAGACCUGGUCUUAAAAAUGGCGGAGGGGGGGCACUUUCAGACACUGCAGCAGGCCAUUAGAAGAGAUAUCAGGGACAGGCAGAGCCCCUUAAGUUCAUCUGAAGCAGUUCCAGCUCUUCCUAAUUAUGUGGAGAUGAAAAUCUCAUUUGUCUAUCCCUUUGCCUUUUUUGGCUCCAGGGCACAGGAGAUGGGAGCAGAAACUCUUGUGCCACCCAUGGCUCCCAGGCAGUGCCCCCUGCUUGGGAGGAAGAAGAUUUGCUUGCUGGGCAAAUCCUGGCCAUCUGUGCCACUGGAAGUGCUGGCAGAAGAAUGAAGCACCCUGAAACAACAAGAAGGGGGAAUGGCCUUUCUUCCCUGGUUUUGUGAAUUAUUUAUCUUGAACCCCUAAAUAGAACUGAUAAAGCAACUGCCCUGUCCUCACAAGCCUCCCCUCUUUGGCUGAGGGCUUCCUUCAGAAAACACACUUUUCAUGCUCAGUUUGUUUUAGGCUGUUGCAGCUGCUAACAAAACACCUUAGACCAGGUAAUUGAUAAACAGCACAGCAUUUGUUGCUCCCAGUUCCAAAGGCUGGAAAAUCCAAGAACAAAGUGCCACUAGCUUAAAGGUCUUUUGAGGGGCCCCUUCUACACCUACCCACAGCUUGGAAGGGACAAAAGGAACUAACAAGCUCUCUCAAGCCUCUUGUGGGCACUAAUCCCUUUGUGAAGUGCUGUCCUCGUGACCUUCUGGUCUAAAAACAAAAGCAAAGCAACAACACUUCAAUACCAUAACCUUGAGGGUUAGAUUUCAAAAAGAAUUUUGGAAUUUCACGCAUUCAGCGCAUCCUAGACCCAUUUCUUUUACGGUUCAAAAUGAUACUUCUAGAGCACCUCGGCACCCAAAGUCUUCCUUUCUUCUCCAUCACCCUCUGUUGAACUCAAAACUGGAACUGGAAGAAAGGCAGAGGCACGGGACAGCCUACAGAAUAGUGUUAUCUGAUAUUGCACCAACCAGGAUCUCCACCAGGCCUGGACACUUAGAAGAAACAGGACAGCGUCCUGGAAAUCCUGAUCCGAUCCGCAGACUCAGGGUAGAGCUCGCGUUUGUUCCUUUUCAACAGAUUUCCAACAGCUUCUGAAAAGACAGUCUCAAAGUGGGCUAUGGGGCUCCGCUUCCAAAAGAACUUGAGAGAAGGGAGAGGCCCCUAGGUCCCAGCUGGUGGGGCAGAGCAGAGCCAUAGCCCCUCCGGAGCUGGCGCCCACUGCCUGCGUCCUCAGACUCCCUCCACAGGUGCGAGCGGGCUGGUGCAUGCCCUGCUGAGGCCCGCGCGCAGGCGGGGUGGCCAGCCUGGGGUCACACUCCAACUUCCUGCAGCCUGUUGUGGGCCCUGGACAGGUGUGGUGGAACCUCACACAGCUGUGUUCAGGAGCACUUCUGAGGUGCACAGGCUAAUGGCUGUCUCUCAGUUCGCUUUGUGUUUCUACCUGUGGCCCCCAAACCCCUGAGGUACUGUGUAGGGGAUCUCCUGCCUGGGGAGUCUGGGAGAUGAACAUUCCAGAAUGCUCAGACUCCCCUGUGGCUGCUUUUACUUUCCCAGCUUUCACUUCUCAGGAUCCUGCUCUUCCCCCUGAGAGACUCCUGGCAGAAAAGGGAGCAGCCAGUUUAUUUCUGAAAGGUAGGCCUCAGGUGAGUUGGGGUUUUCUUAAAAUUUCCUCAAAUUCUUGAACUACAGGUUGCUUUGCCUCCUUCUUUCUAGAACCUCUUUGUUCAACAAAGGGAACUGACCCCAGUUUCCUGCUCUUUGGGAGCUGAUCCGGGCAGGUGGAGGAUGGCCUUGUCAGGGCUCUCUCCUCUCCACUCUUCUGCACCAUCCCUCACUCACUUGGAUCCUUCAGGCUUCCUCUGGCUCAUUUCUCUAAUGGGCACUGUGAUGACUGACAGGUAUUACAGCAGAGGCCUGGCCACAGCAGUGGGAGAAGGCUGACACCCAGGACGCCAUACCCUUGUCUGUUUUGUUACUCAUAGUUGUUCACUUCUGUCUCUUCUGCACACAAAAUGCCUCCCUGAGGGAGAGUACUCCAAAG
This 2333-nucleotide long non-coding RNA is filed under the name Marmota monax (woodchuck). Lineage: Eukaryota; Metazoa; Chordata; Mammalia; Rodentia; Sciuridae. The record is from RNAcentral.